ACCCCCUGGCAGUGGGCAAAACAACUCCUUUUGGUGAUUGUGUUCUUCUAUCAGUCAGGGGCAGAGCAGAUGGCAGUCCUUUGUUCAUCCUAGCUUGAUGCCUGGCUCAGUGGCCAAAGCUGUCCUAUGCCUAGGACUCAUAA
Molecule: non-coding RNA, 143 nt
Organism: Arvicanthis niloticus (Nile rat)
Lineage: Eukaryota; Metazoa; Chordata; Mammalia; Rodentia; Muridae
Source: RefSeq, a predicted model, not a curated record